This 156-nucleotide unclassified non-coding RNA is filed under the name soil metagenome. RNAcentral describes it as "partial internal transcribed spacer 1". The record is from RNAcentral.
UCAAAAGUCAAGUCGGGGGCUGCUAAAGCCCGCCGUCUACACCCAUGUCUUUUGCUGUACUUCUUGUUUCCUCGGUGGCGCUAAGCCUGCCGAUUGGACAAACCAAAACCUUUUUUGUAAUUGCAAUCAGCGUCUGAAAAAUAAUCUAAUUAUUUA